CAUCCAUAUGUUUCCCUAUAAAGCCAUACAUGCGCAUAGCAGGCCGAUAAACAGGAGAGCUCAUACAUUAAGAGGCGUGAAAUAAACACAAUGGAGAUAUUGGUGCUGUUGACGAUAUUCGGAUUUCUUGUUUCUGAAGCUCAGUCAACUAUCACUGGUGAUGCAACAUGUGACAACACCAUGUAUUUUUAUGCUGAUGGCGUUCGAUAUACAAAUGCAAACGAUAAUGAUUGGACUAAAUCAUCACCCGUCAGUAUUCCCGGUAAUACUCAAGUGGUUGCUGUUCAUUGCGUGGAUCAUGGUGUAGUUGGUGGCAUCAAGCUGGCAUUAAGUAAUGGCAUUAAAACAGAUACCACAUGGAAAUGUUCCAAGACAUACGCAGCAGGUUGGAAUAAACCUGGCUUCGAUGACUCUAAGUGGCCAAAUGCUAUAGUGCCAACGUUUAACUGGGGAUCGAGGCCUUCUUCUUUGAAUGGUAGAGCCGAUUGGAUUUGGACAACCGGAUAUCGUGGACAGGAUACAACCGUCUAUUGUAGAAAGGUUAUAAAAAAAACAAGAGGUUGUGAUUGUUGUGAAGCCCUUGAAGCUAUUACUGCAUUGUUGAAACAUUAACUAGAAGUGUUCGCGAGGACAUAAUUUAUUAUGCUAUCCACAGCCCCUCCCACCCGCCAUUAAUUAUGUAUAUCUUAUAUAUCUUUUAAAUUUGAUCUUCAACUCUGUCCAUGAAUUACUUUAUUAAGCAUAAACACUAAUUUGUUAUAUCUGUUGUAUGGAAGUUUUAGUAGGAUCACGUCCGAAUAAAAUUGAUCUUCAACUCUGUAAA
Long non-coding RNA from Patella vulgata (common limpet), 823 nucleotides. RefSeq lists it as uncharacterized. The record is from RefSeq and is a predicted model, not a curated record. Lineage: Eukaryota; Metazoa; Mollusca; Gastropoda; Patellidae. The transcript is spliced from 5 exons.